GACGAACCGUGCGAACGUUGUUCGGAAUCACUGGGCUUAAAGGGCGCGUAGGCGGGUGGUCAAGUCAGGGGUGAAAUCUUUCAGCUCAACUGGAAAACAGCUUCUGAUACUGGCCGUCUUGAGGGGGGUAGGGGCAUGUGGAACUUCCGGUGGAGCGGUGAAAUGCGUUGAUAUUGUGAGGAACGCCGGAGGCGAAAGCGGCGCACUGGAUCUCUUCUGACGCUGAGGCGCGAAAGCUAGGGGAGCAAAAGGG
RNAcentral lists this ribosomal RNA (253 nucleotides) under uncultured bacterium. Its description in RNAcentral is "partial 16S ribosomal RNA". It matches the Rfam family "Bacterial small subunit ribosomal RNA", at positions 524 to 776 of the family's 1533-position model. The record is from RNAcentral.